Molecule: long non-coding RNA, 2138 nt
Filed under: Cricetulus griseus (Chinese hamster)
Lineage: Eukaryota; Metazoa; Chordata; Mammalia; Rodentia; Cricetidae
Description: lncRNA (ENSCGRG00015031364.1)
Source: RNAcentral
GCGCGCGCGCACACACACACACACACACACACACACACACACACAACCUCUGCCUGCCUUUUGAAAUCAAAUACAUUUCCUGCCUCUUCUCUCCUCAGUACUCACACAACCAGCUUAUUUAUAGCCCAGGAAAAGGGAAAAAAAAAACAACGCUCCACUGCAGGCCGGAAAACUAAGUAGGGAAAGAAUAGGAGGAAGUAGGCUUGCCAUUUGGCCAAACAACCUUUUCUUCAUUGAGCUCAAAGCUUAGCCGAUUCACAGUGGUGGUGGUGGUUAGGCAUAAUUGGCUUGCAAAUUUCUUUCUUUCUUUCGUAACUCCUUACUUUUGAACUGUCUUUGGGCAAUGGAGGCGAUGACAGCUUUUGAGAACAGCAAUCUCUAGGUGUUCAGGCACAUUGAAAAGAAACUUAAAACCUGGUGAAAGAAAGUGUGGUGGACAGAUGAUUUGCUAGUGUGGUGAUGUCUGUUGACGAUGCAUCUGCAAAUUAAGAUACCGUCCACGUUUGUGUGAGAGAUGAGAAGCCUGAUUGGUGUCAGCACAAUGACCAUCAAAGGAGCAGGCUCUGCUGGUUGCUGAGAAGGAAGCCGGUUGCUGUUCCUUCUGCCCCUCCCUGGUUGAGAUUGGUGUGUUUAGAAUCUGCAGCAAGAAGAUAGCAAAGCUGAAGGCAGAAGUGUGAGCCUGCUAGACGUGGUGAGGAGCCUACGGCCUCCUUCUGGCAUCCAGAGACCAAUGCAGAAAACCACAAUGAAACAAAAGUCAGAGUUGUGGUGCCCAGCGCUAAUGGAUACAUCUACAACACAACUCCUUCACCUAAAGUCCGGGGAUCACUGCAGAGAAGUGGGCAGAAAGAUGGCAAGAGCCAGAAGGACAGGGAGUUUACUGUGAGAUUGUGUCACCUAGCAAUGUCAGAAGGACAGCUGUUCAAAAGCACUUUUUCUGUGUCCUUUCUUUUCCUUUUGAAAAUAAAUCCAUGAGACACAUAUAGCCAUGCAUAUUGUUGAUUUACUAUUUAGAUGAUUCCUAAGAGCAAUGUAGUAGAGUUGCUCACAGUCACUCAGAAGGACCAAGAAUGAGGUAGCUCAGAUGUCGGGUCUUGGGUUCCUCAUCCUGCUUGGUUUUCUAUUUUAGCAAUGGAGUGAUCAGGACAGUAUCACGAAGUCCUUGAAAACUGGGAUUGGGGAAGAGCAUUUGGAAAUAUGCUGUCUUCAAGUAAUGAACUGCCAUCAUGUUCCUAGAUUCCUUGUGUCUCACCCACAAUUCCCUGCACUUCAACUCCAACAUGUGUAAACUAAAUGGAGGUUGAGAAAGCACUGCCAAACACGGACAGCCCAGAGGAGUCAGAAGAAAGGAUUAACUUUUGCAAAGAAUUUUCCAUCUGUUUCCCUGAUAAGGCUGAUUAGAACCAGCUAUCUAGUUUUGCACACUCUGAACUAACAGACUAACUGUACCAUCUGGCCUGGCUAAAUUUAAUGCAGAUUUCUUCAAGGAGUUCGGGCUCUGUUAUGUAGGCAAAGCCCUCACCUUCCCAAAUUCUCGGGAGAACAGGAGUUAAUGCUGCUAGAGGUUGUCCAUUCUGUUUACUAGAGACAGCCCGCUGGAGUAGGAAGUGUUUCGUGAUUUCCCGUAUACAGGCUGGGCACCUGUUAGCCAGCUCAUUGAAACCCUGCACCUGUUAGGUAGUUUCUCUCGAGUUUCAUUCUUUGUGUCAAACUUACAGCACAGAUGCGGUCUUUGUCUCCUGGCCUCCCUGGUACUUCUCCCAUCCCUCGCUUUUUCAACUACAUCAAUCAGUGCCCUCUCUUAUUUUUGGCAUAAAGAACUUGCUUUUAAUUAGUUUCAAGGCUUUGGGAAAAGCAGUUUAAAGGGGUUGAGUUGAUGAACGGUGUCUCUACGGUCCUCCGAUGCACACACAGAUGACCUUAGACCUCGUGGGAACUGAACUGAGUUCAGGCCUAUCUUCUUGUUUGUUAUUUAACAACAGUGUAUCCACUCUGAUAGUGAGUUUAGACAAUCUACACUGUGGUCAUUAAAGCAUUUUAUAACUUUAGUUUUUAGUAGCUCUGUUUUUUUCUUUCAUUUUUUGCUUUCUUUGGAAUUCUUCAAGUUCACUGUAUUCCAUUUCCCCCACGAUUCGUGC